RNAcentral lists this ribosomal RNA (465 nucleotides) under uncultured bacterium. Its description in RNAcentral is "partial 16S ribosomal RNA". It matches the Rfam family "Bacterial small subunit ribosomal RNA", at positions 28 to 507 of the family's 1533-position model. The record is from RNAcentral.
GACGAACGCUGGCGGCGUGCUUAACACAUGCAAGUCGAACGGAAAGGCCCCUUUGGGGGUACUCGAGUGGCGAACGGGUGAGUAACACGUGAGUAACCUUCCCUUGACUUCGGGAUAACUUCAGGAAACUGGGGCUAAUACCGGAUAGGAAUCCUUGCUGCAUGGUGGGGGUUGGAAAGCUUCGGCGGUUUUGGAUGGACUCGCGGCUUAUCAGCUUGUUGGUGGGGUAGUGGCUUACCAAGGCUUUGACGGGUAGCCGGCCUGAGAGGGCGACCGGCCACAUUGGGACUGGGAUACGGCCCAGACUCCUACGGGAGGCAGCAGUGGGGAAUAUUGCACAAUGGGCGGAAGCCUGAUGCAGCAACGCCGCGUGCGGGAUGACGGCCUUCGGGUUGUAAACCGCUUUCAGCAGGGGCGAAGCUUGUGGUGACGGUACCUGCAGAAGAAGCACCGGCUAACUACGUG